This 468-nucleotide ribosomal RNA is filed under the name Triticum aestivum (bread wheat). RNAcentral describes it as "partial small subunit ribosomal RNA". The record is from RNAcentral. Lineage: Eukaryota; Viridiplantae; Streptophyta; Magnoliopsida; Poales; Poaceae.
AUGCCCCGGCUUAACUACGGGAUCAUUUCUUUGAUUCCCAAGGUUCCGGGUGCUGCUGACAUAAGGCAAUUCCGGCCUAUCACAGUCCUCAAUGUGAUAUUCUAGAUUUUGGCUAAGGGGUACGCCACUUGGGCGGCCCUAACCGCCCCUCCGAUCCACCACCCGAAACAGUCUGCCUUCACGAAAGGUAAGUUUAUUCUGGAUGGGAUUCUCGUUCUCCACGAGGUCAUCCAUGAGGUCAAGAGCAAGCACCUCCGUGCGGUGUUCUUCAAGAUUGACUUCCAUAAAGCAUACGACACCGUCCAUUGGUCCUUCCUUCGGGAGGUGUUGCUCAAGCACGGAUUCGACCCCCACUGGGUUGCGAGGGUGAUGCAGUUAGUGACGAGCGGCCGCACGGCUGUGAAUAUCAAUGGGGAGAUCGGGCCUUACUUCUUGCCUGGCCAAGGCGUACGGCAACGGGAUCCGUGA